GGAACUUCACCUUUAGAUUUGGACUUAGUAAAGCUAAGGUCAUUGACAUCGAAAUUAUUGAACGGUUAAACCUUCACAUUGAGACAUAAUACUAGACCUUUGGGUUACUAGUGACUGUUACCAUGUUAGAGACAUGAUGAUUGGAUACUUGAGGUUUUGACCAUGCUUGCUUGCCAUUUGUGCUCAUUCGCACAUGCUUGUAUGGGUCGCUCCCUACAAGCCGGCACUCCGGAGUUAGCCUACGCGACUUAUGUUCGCUCGUGCGGUAUCGAGUAGCCUACGCGGCCUGGAGGGUUAGACUCAUUCCUAGAGUGGGGAUGCUGGAGCUACCACUGGCACUUAGGCGGCACAAGCCGGACUACACCUGUGUAGAUCCUGAUUGAGAUUGAACCAGAAUAUUAAACAACAAGUUGACAUUCACUACUAGCUAGGUUAUAGUAGUUGGACUCUUAAUAUGCUAUGGUAUAGGGUUGGACAUUUGGGUA
RNAcentral lists this long non-coding RNA (485 nucleotides) under Ananas comosus (pineapple). Its description in RNAcentral is "long non-coding RNA (ACOM_LNC036306)". The record is from RNAcentral. Lineage: Eukaryota; Viridiplantae; Streptophyta; Magnoliopsida; Poales; Bromeliaceae.